This 417-nucleotide ribosomal RNA is filed under the name Rhizobium sp. Its description in RNAcentral is "bacterial SSU rRNA". It matches the Rfam family "Bacterial small subunit ribosomal RNA", at positions 333 to 768 of the family's 1533-position model. Lineage: Bacteria; Pseudomonadati; Pseudomonadota; Alphaproteobacteria; Hyphomicrobiales; Rhizobiaceae. The record is from RNAcentral.
UUACUCCUACCGGGAGGCAGCAGUGGGGAAUAUUGGACAAUGGGCGCAAGCCUGAUCCAGCCAUGCCGCGUGAGUGAUGAAGGCCCUAGGGUUGUAAAGCUCUUUCACCGGAGAAGAUAAUGACGGUAUCCGGAGAAGAAGCCCCGGCUAACUUCGUGCCAGCAGCCGCGGUAAUACGAAGGGGGCUAGCGUUGUUCGGAAUUACUGGGCGUAAAGCGCACGUAGGCGGAUCGAUCAGUCAGGGGUGAAAUCCCAGGGCUCAACCCUGGAACUGCCUUUGAUACUGUCGAUCUGGAGUAUGGAAGAGGUGAGUGGAAUUCCGAGUGUAGAGGUGAAAUUCGUAGAUAUUCGGAGGAACACCAGUGGCGAAGGCGGCUCACUGGUCCAUUACUGACGCUGAGUCGAAGCUGACCAUUG